RNAcentral lists this ribosomal RNA (188 nucleotides) under uncultured bacterium. RNAcentral describes it as "partial 16S ribosomal RNA". It matches the Rfam family "Bacterial small subunit ribosomal RNA", at positions 337 to 522 of the family's 1533-position model. The record is from RNAcentral.
UCCUACGGGAGGCAGCAGUGAGGAAUAUUGGUCAAUGGUCGGAAGACUGAACCAGCCAAGUAGCGUGAAGGAUGAAGGUUCUAUGGAUUGUAAACUUCUUUUAUACGGGAAUAAAACCACCUACGUGUAGGUGCUUGUAUGUACCGUAUGAAUAAGCAUCGGCUAACUCCGUGCCAGCAGCCGCGGUA